Molecule: long non-coding RNA, 681 nt
Organism: Eucalyptus grandis
Lineage: Eukaryota; Viridiplantae; Streptophyta; Magnoliopsida; Myrtales; Myrtaceae
Exons: 3
Source: RefSeq, a predicted model, not a curated record
CCUCUUUCUUUCCUCUCUCUGCCAUCUCUAUCUCACACACUUGGCACAUACAAACUUGAAAAAACCUCAUACAAUAACCUCAUCGCCAUCGCCCACUCUAACCCUAGUUCAUUGUAACCCACUAUUUCCUUCUCCUUUGCUCUCGUUUCCGUCGACGCCAUCUCUCUCACACCCACGCACAAUUACAGCACCCUUAUACGAUAACCUCGUCGGCGUUGCCCAAUCUCCCCCACUUCAUUCCCACUCGAUUCUUCCUUUUCCUUUCCUCUCUUCAAUGGACCUUAUUCAUCAUCCUUGUCAUCGACCUUUGGCAGCGCAGGCAAUUUAGCUCAAGCACAAGCCCAAUAGAGAGAAAAAGGGCCACAAGAGAAAAUGGUGAUGACGAUCAUCAACAAGAUAUUGACGAUAUUGAUGCAGUUGAUGUGGAAAGUGGUGAGACCUGAGGAUCUCGAACUUGGGGAUCACGUUUAUAGAUACGGACGGUAUGGAUUAUACAGCCAUCAUGGAAUUUACAUCAGUGAAGGCUAUGUGAUUCAUUUCACCCGAACAAAGAGCCAAAAAACCAUAUUUCCUUCACUUUUCAAGACUAGCUACAAGCAAGAAGUUUCAUCUUCUUGCCCAAAAUGUGGAUACCAAGAGAGCAUCAAUUGUGGGGUUGUCAAAACUUGUCUCAAUUGUUUU